GAGGCAGAGCAGCACCCAGCACCUCAAGUUCAGUGCCCCAGCUCUCACUGCUCUGCUGAGGCUGUGAGGUCAUUUGUUAUCACAGUACAGUGGUGCAUCAUGCCUGACUCUGUCACUGUAUCUUCAUAAGGUCUGGGGCCAUUGAUGGCAUCAACAUCUUAAUUUCUCCAAUCUUGCAGAGGAAGACAAUAUUCCACCUUGACAUGAUAGUGACUGAGGAACUACAGCAUUCUAAAAGGGAAUUGUAGAAGAGGGCAUUGUCCCAGAAUCAGGGAACAGUCACUGAAACUGGAGUCUUGAAAUUGGUUCUCCAUGGCACAUGUGGAAGUCUUUGACGAGGCCAAGGUGUUUGCAUGGUCAUUGUCAUAUGUUAUGACAGCUAGAAGUGUCCAGGAGUUAAGGGUUAUUAGAGGGUGUACGUUGCAAAGGCAUGGAGAUGAAGAAUAAAGGGGAAAUUGUUUUUGCU
This 466-nucleotide long non-coding RNA is filed under the name Mus spretus (western wild mouse). RNAcentral's name for it is "predicted gene 13175 (ENSMSPG00010029710.1)". The record is from RNAcentral. Lineage: Eukaryota; Metazoa; Chordata; Mammalia; Rodentia; Muridae.